UUUAUGAUACCGAUUUUUAUCGAGUAGUUUGGUCACUGCACUGACAUGGAACUUACAUAGAAGGCUGACAUUAGCAAUCUAGCAAUGUUUCCAGCAAAACUCCAGCAAUAUUUACUUACAUCCUGCUUCGAUCGUGCUGGUAAUCGACGUCACGUGUUCAUCGGCGUCGUAUAGGAGACGUGGCCGUAUUGCCCAGAAGAUAAUGUUUCGCAUCCAAACUUGCGGAAGAGGUAGUAGGCUACUCGACACGCUUUCUGGGUGUUGAAAUACUUUGCUGUCUUUGUAUCUCACAGAUAUAUCUCGCGGUGACGCUUUGGAGCAUAAAUGUUUGAAGGCGGGAUGCAUUACAUGGAUAGAGCGAUAUCCGAUAUUUGAGACUACCCUAAAGUUUUACAGCUACAGCUGUACAUGCGGAGAUUAGCAUCGGAUAGCAUGCGUGCGCCGUCCGCCCCAGAUAUCGCGCAGCAGUGAGUCAGGGAAGAAGCGUCAAGCAACGUUGGGUAUCACGUGAGGUGUGGUGAUGCAGGUGGCGGGAGUGGAAAGCAGAAGGCGCCACGCAGGCCUUUCGCGAGGAUGGCUCCGGGAAAGAUUUUAGUGAAGGUUCCUGUCCGUGUGUGUCUUGCGUCCGGUUCCUUCUUGCGAUACCAACUCGUUAAGAAAAGAUUGUAAAAAUUCGUAAACAUCCGAACAGGGUUCGAGCUGCAAUGUAUUUGUAAAAUCUAAUUUCAACACAUGAACAUACUAUAUGCUAGGAACUCUGAAGGAAACGGGGAAAGAAUCGUGCUGAAGUGUACCCACAAUGCGUUGUGACUCAACUGUUUUUUUUUUCUUUCCUUGUGAUUACGGCAUUCUUGAUUGAAGUUUAUGGAUCAAGCCAUAUUAACAGUAUAACAGCUUGUGCGUAGAAUGGAAUCUGUCCAAAUGCGUUAUGGUGAUUUUUCGCCUUAUGAAUGACCAUCAAUUUCUUCGCUCCGUGGUGUUUUUUUCAAUCGUUGGCACUGGUCGUCCAAGUCGAAGUUAUGUCGUCGAGUUACGCUAAUCAAAAUGAAAAGUCGCAAAUAAAAUUGUACAGAGAAGGAAGCAGAUAAUAACGUCAUCAGACAAUCCUGUCUAUGGCAAAUACACAUAUCGAAGUUAGGCCAUUUCCACCCGUUUAUGAAAUUUUCUUACGUGCAAAGCAUUGCAUGAUGAAUGAUUCCAAGCUUGCACAAAAUAAAAAGCGAAGCAUGUGACACUCAACGAAACACGUUGAGUAGGACAGCAGUAUGUUGGCCGGGAAAAAACGUGAAAGGCGAAAACUAGAGUAGGCCGACUAGAGAGCAGACGAAGACUAUAGAGCAGGUUGCAGCGCCAAACUGGCCCUACGUCGCAUGCGUGCUUCCAUUUCACGUGCCGACCAAUAUGGUCCCGCUACGACUAGAUUUUCGCGCAUGCGUACUAUUCUUGUUCUCAAAUUCGUCUCAAACGGAUUCAGGAAAGGGUUCUCGUGUGAGACCCAACUUGCAGAGUUAAUGAUAUACAUGCAGCAAUGAAUGUUGGCACUCAAACCGAUGUCAUUUUUCUAGACUUCUCCAGAGCGCUUGACCGCGUACCCGAUUCUCGGUUACUGUACAAAUUGUCCUGCUAAGGAAUUCAUCCUCCACUAAUUAACUGGAUUCGCCUCUUAGUUCUGCUUAGUUAACGAUUCUUCAUCUCCCCCAACGAACGUAACAUCUGGUGUACCACAGGGUACAGUUCUUGGUCCCCUUCUCUUCCUGCACUGUAAAAAAAUACUGUGAUUUCUACGGGCGUUUAGUAGUAUCUGACGACGGCGUGUUACCGUAAUCACAAAUACUGCGAAAACUACGUAAAACGGUGGCGCCAUCAUCAUGCGCCGGCCAAAAAUUUCAAUGCGGAGGCAAGGCCAAGCCAAGUACGGGUCAUUGCCGUCAUUCACAACAGCCGGACGCCGAACAUCGUGCGCGGACGAUCGUUGAGGAAGAAGAACGAAGUGGUCGUUGUAAAUCUCGUGAAUGCACGUAGCCAGUGUUUUGAUGCCAGAGCUGACUGAUGGGUGCACAUGGCUCCUUCGAAUGUUCUUCCUUUGAAAAAAUAAACGUGUUUUGAUGCCAGAGCUGACUGAUGGGUGCACAUGGUUCCUUCGAAUGUUCUUCCUUUGAAAAAAUAAACGGUGAGUAUAACUGCAUGUCAAUUGCCCUGCUACCUGUGACAGUUUCUGUUCUCUUUGCAGUGUUUUGACGCCAGAGCUGACUGAUGGGUGCACAUGGUUCCUUCGAAUGUUCUUCCUUUGAAAAAAUAAACGAGUUUUGACGCCAGAGCUGACUGAUGGGUGCACAUGGUUCCUUCGAAUGUUCUUCCUUUGAAAAAAUAAACAAGUUUUGAUGCCAGAGCUGACUGAUGGGUGCACAUGGUUCCUUCGAAUGUUCUUCCUUUGAAAAAAUAAACAUGUCUUGAUGCCAGAGGUGAUUGGCGCAUUUUCAUCAUAUGUACAUAGAAAAUAAAUCCCGAUGUGACAAACAUCACAA
Long non-coding RNA from Ornithodoros turicata, 2525 nucleotides. RefSeq lists it as uncharacterized. The transcript has 6 exons. The record is from RefSeq and is a predicted model, not a curated record. NCBI's taxonomy places the organism in Eukaryota, Metazoa, Arthropoda, Arachnida, Ixodida, Argasidae.